RNAcentral lists this ribosomal RNA (359 nucleotides) under uncultured bacterium. RNAcentral describes it as "bacterial SSU rRNA". It matches the Rfam family "Bacterial small subunit ribosomal RNA", at positions 9 to 353 of the family's 1533-position model. The record is from RNAcentral.
GAGUUUGAUCGUGGCUCAGGAUGAACGCUGGCGGCGUGCCUAACACAUGCAAGUCGAACGGAGUUAUUCGAGGAAGUUUUCGGAUGGAAUCGAAUAACUUAGUGGCGGACGGGUGAGUAACGCGUGGGAAACCUGCCCUGUACUGGGGGAUAACACUUAGAAAUAGGUGCUAAAACCGCAUAAGCGCACGGGACCGCAUGGUCUUGUGUGAAAAACUCCGGUGGUACAGGAUGGUCCCGCGUCUGAUUAGCCAGUUGGCAGGGUAACGGCCUACCAAAGCGACGAUCAGUAGCCGGCCUGAGAGGUUGAACGGCCACAUUGGGACUGAGAUACGGCCCAGACUCCUACGGGAGGCAGCA